RNAcentral lists this ribosomal RNA (300 nucleotides) under uncultured Lactobacillus sp. RNAcentral's name for it is "bacterial SSU rRNA". It matches the Rfam family "Bacterial small subunit ribosomal RNA", at positions 496 to 795 of the family's 1533-position model. Lineage: Bacteria; Bacillati; Bacillota; Bacilli; Lactobacillales; Lactobacillaceae. The record is from RNAcentral.
GGUUAGUCGGGGCCAGGCGCGGUGGUAAGACGGGGGGGGCAAGGGUUAAUGGGAAGUACUGGGCGUAAAGCGUGCGCAGGCGGCUUAUUAAGUCAGAUGUGAAAUCCCUAGGCUCAACCUAGGAACUGCAUUUGAAACUAAUAAACUAGAGUAUCGUAGAGGGAGGUAGAAUUCCAGGUGUAGCGGUGAAAUGCGUAGAUAUCUGGAGGAAUACCAGUGGCGAAGGCGACCUCCUGGACGAAAACUGACGCUCAAGCACGAAAGCAUGGGGAGCAAACAGGAUUAGAUACCCUUGUAGUC